ACUGUCAUCCAAAGAUCAAGUCCAAAACGCAGACGUUGAAAAGGGCGAAACGAGUAUAUUAUAAGUCACUGUAGAAAGCAGUAUUCUUGGGAGGAACACGUGUGAAAUAAUUGGUAAUCAAAAUUUCCCAGAAUCCUACCAUCCAAUUGUCUAGAAGAGGAAAGAAUCAUCUCCUUACAGAUUCCCCAGUGUGUAAUAUCCAACCAUUGUCAGGGAAAGGGAAGCAUCAU
This is a long non-coding RNA of Saccostrea cuccullata (small rock oyster), 230 nucleotides long. RefSeq lists it as uncharacterized. The transcript has 3 exons. Lineage: Eukaryota; Metazoa; Mollusca; Bivalvia; Ostreida; Ostreidae. The record is from RefSeq and is a predicted model, not a curated record.